UGGGGAAUUUUGGACAAUGGGCGAAAGCCUGAUCCAGCAAUGCCGCGUGUGUGAAGAAGGCCUUCGGGUUGUAAAGCACUUUUGUCCGGAAAGAAAUCCUUGGCUCUAAUACAGUCGGGGGAUGACGGUACCGGAAGAAUAAGCACCGGCUAACUACGUGCCAGCAGCCGCGGUAAUACGUAGGGUGCAAGCGUUAAUCGGAAUUACUGGGCGUAAAGCGUGCGCAGGCGGUUUGCUAAGACCGAUGUGAAAUCCCCGGGCUCAACCUGGGAACUGCAUUGGUGACUGGCAGGCUAGAGUAUGGCAGAGGGGGGUAGAAUUCCACGUGUAGCAGUGAAAUGCGUAGAGAUGUGGAGGAAUACCGAUGGCGAAGGCAGCCCCCCUGGGCCAAUACUGACGCUCAUGCACGAAAGCGUGGGGAGCAAACAGGAUUAGAUACCCUGGUAGUCCACGCCCUAAACGAUGUCAACUAGUUGUUGGGGAUUCAUUUCCUAGUAACGUAGCUAACGCGUGAAGUUGACCGCCUGGGGAGUACGGUCGCAAGAUUAAAACUCAAAGGAAUUGACGGGGUCAUGCUGUUUCC
Molecule: ribosomal RNA, 583 nt
Filed under: uncultured bacterium
Lineage: Bacteria
Description: partial 16S ribosomal RNA
Rfam family: Bacterial small subunit ribosomal RNA
Source: RNAcentral